GAACGCACAUUGCGCCCCUUGGUAUUCCGGGGGGCAUGCCUGUUCGAGCGUCAUUAUAACCCUCAAGCCUAGCUUGGUGUUGGGGCAUGCUUCUGCAGCCCUUAAAAUCAGUGGCAGUGCCCGUUGGCUCUAAGCGUAGUAAUACUCCUCGCUAUAGAACCCAGUGGAUACGCGCCAGAACCCCAAAUUUUCUAUGGUUGACCUCGGAUCAGGUAGGGAUACCCGCUGAACUUAAG
This 236-nucleotide unclassified non-coding RNA is filed under the name uncultured fungus. RNAcentral's name for it is "sequence contains 5.8S rRNA gene". The stretch from base 1 to 53 matches the Rfam family "5.8S ribosomal RNA", at positions 102 to 154 of the family's 154-position model. RNAcentral also lists the same sequence under 1 other name. The record is from RNAcentral. Lineage: Eukaryota; Fungi.